AAAAAGAUAUUUAUACUAUAUAACCAUAUCAGAUAUUCAAAGUUUUUUUUUAACAUGCUUUCAAAAUAAGUUCUAAAUACCAAACAUAACCGUUGUUGGUAUCACCGGUCAACAAACUGUUAUCAAACUAAUUCCAAAAACUAAAACCCGAUAGUUUUUAAUGCCAUUGAUCAAAACAUAACAUGAAAAAAAAUUGAUCAAACAAACAUCUUAACAUAAAAACAUAAAAUGACAACAAUACAUAAACUAUUUAUGAUAUU
RNAcentral lists this small RNA (260 nucleotides) under Arabidopsis thaliana (thale cress). Its description in RNAcentral is "ATSL135560". The record is from RNAcentral. Lineage: Eukaryota; Viridiplantae; Streptophyta; Magnoliopsida; Brassicales; Brassicaceae.